CUGGGUCUGACCUCUGUAGCUUCCCAUCCAGGGGGCCUGACCCUGCCUCCUGGGCUCACAGAGCCAGCCUGUGCCUUCCAGGAUGGAACCAUGACGGGGCCCUAUCCCGGUAGGAUGAACUGACAUCCAUUUUGCCUGAGGGUUCCAGUUGACAUCUAUUCCUAGUGCCUCCUUUCACUCCCCAAAGUGAGAUCAGCCAUGUAUCAUCAGUUAUCCAGUCUGUGCAGUAAAGAGGGUGCUGGGGCCCAGACCCCAGCCCUGAACCCUGCUGCAUGGACUCCUGGCAACUGUCCUUAGGCUCUCUCGAGGCCCAGCUUCCUGUUGGGGAGAACAGUGCCCACCCGAUUUGUGGGUGAAGGUGUGAGCGCUCUGUAUGGCCCUCUCCUUCCCACAGUCCUGGCUGGAGGCUUCGGAAGCCCACUGGGCCCUAUGGAAUGGAGACACACAGGGCAUUUGAGCCCCAGCCUCCCAGAAGGGGCAGGAAGUGUGGGAAAGAGAUGUCAUUGGUGUGAAGCCCACAGCUGCGCCUAGCAUGUCUGUAGAGGGAACCAGUGACUUCAAGAGUGGAAGCUUGUCAUCAAGAUGGAAAAGGAUGCGACCAGCAUUUGGGGUGGCCAAAUGAAGACGGCCAAAUGCCACCAUGUAUCUCAGGAGGAGGCCCAGCACUGUCCUGUCCAACCCACCUAUACCCCAAACCAACCCUUCCAAGACCCCUGGGAAGGGCUGUCCUGGAGCGUGGGUGGGGCAGGAGGUGGCUGGCAGACACACCCUGGGUUGUGGUGAUGGCUAGCAGGCUGUAGACCAUGACAAGAAGUGGCUCCUCCUCGGGGUGGCUCUGAAGAGCACUCAGCAGGGUGGAGGUGAUGGCUUGGUUGCAGGGAGCCUUGGCUUCCGGGUGGUGCACCAGCGCUGCUCAAGCCAGAGGAAGACGCCUGGGGUUAGCCCCACAGCUCAGGCAUGGGGCCAGACACACAAGGCUCACAGGCUGGGGGAUAGCAUCUCCACUUUGCAUGAAGGAAACCGAGGUCUGCCUUGUUCUGACCCAGAGCAGGCCUCCAUGAAUCCCUGUGGCCUAAUGGAGUGAAGGACCGGAAGGGAGCCCUGCCCGGCCAGGCCACGCAUCCUGGUCCCUGGGAGCCAGUCAGGCAGCACUGAACACAAUUUCAACAUUGCAUGGAACUCCUGAUCUCAAGUGAUCUGCCCACCUCAGCCCCUCCCAAAGUGCUGGGAUUACAGGCAUGAGCCACUGCGCUGGGCUGCAAGCCCAUUUCUAAGCAAGGCGUGGAGGGAGGUGUGGCUCCGGGUGGUGGGAAAGACCUACCCUUUGGGAUGGGGCCCAACAGCUUCCCUAGUUUCCCCAGGGAGGCAAAGUCUCUCUUCCCAGGGACUCUGUCCUGGUCACAGCUGAGCUACAAAAGGGGUCGAAGAGGAGGAGGGGAGGGAGGGAA
Molecule: long non-coding RNA, 1448 nt
Filed under: Homo sapiens (human)
Lineage: Eukaryota; Metazoa; Chordata; Mammalia; Primates; Hominidae
Description: non-protein coding lnc-REXO4-2:1
Source: RNAcentral